Hemicordylus capensis (graceful crag lizard) is the source of this 3913-nucleotide RNA transcript. RefSeq lists it as uncharacterized. NCBI's taxonomy places the organism in Eukaryota, Metazoa, Chordata, Lepidosauria, Squamata, Cordylidae. The record is from RefSeq and is a predicted model, not a curated record. The transcript has 2 exons.
GUGGGGUGGGAUGCCCGCACCCUCUGGGGCCAUUCUGUGCGCACGCAGGUGCGGAGAGGUGGAGGCCCUACCUGCGCACAAGGUGGUGCCUUCUGCCAGAGAGAGGUGCACUUAGGUAAUUUUGGAGCCUGGACCUAAAGGCCUUUGGAACCCACCCCCACCCACCCAGCAAGUUAAGCAUCCUCCCACACACACACCCUGACACACGCAGUAAUUUUAGCACACGGGUUCUUGAGGUCACAAACAGCAACUGAACUCACAAGAAUGUAAGAACAGAAAACAGAGCACUUGGCACAGGUCAUAAUCAUGCUCAACUGCACGGCGCAGUGCAGUGCAGGCCGAGGAUUUUGGUGCCCCAAGGUGUAUGGAGGCCUUGGACUUUGGCCCCAAAGUCCAGGAGUGAGAGCACCGCUGCCUUCCGCACCAUGUCCAGGAAGAGACACAAAAAGCAUUGGGCCUGGGGUACCCUUGGAAGUCGGCAAAGUGUGCGGAAGUUGGCAAAGUGUGCAGUUCUGCACCAGUGCGGUGUGUGCAUUGGGUUGGGAGGCGGGGGUGCCAGGUUCCUAAUCUCAUUUCAGCCCAUCAUGUAUGUUGGCUUUUUUUUCCAGAUUGUCUACCCCACUCUUUCCCAAGAACGGUCCAAGAUGGCUAACAGUAAGCCAGUAUACAUAUAUACUAGCCGGAUUAAUUAGUCAUGACUAAGCACCAUUGGAAUCCAUAAGACACAUUACUCAUGACUAACUGAAUGGUUUUCAAUUAGGCCUAGUCAUGACUAGCAGUGUGGGUGCUGCCUAUUGUUACAAGCUUGGAUUCUGACAGUGGUAAGUGGCCUCUCAAAAUGGUUGCCUUGAGGGGAAGCCUUGAGCUUUUCCAAAUGGUGGUUUAAUGCAGCUUCAUUACAUUUAGGCUAAGUGCAAGUUCAUACUUGGGGGACCAUUUACAAAGUGCCAUUCAUAGCACAACUGGCAUUGCUUGGCUUUUUUCCUGUUGAUUCGAAGUUACUGCGCAUUACAUGUGUCCUUAAAAAGUAGCAAUUAGGUGCAGUGCUCAGAACAACUUAACCUUAGGCACUUGCUGCCACAGUAAAGCCAACUGUCUAGGAAAGCUCCUGGUUAAAAUCUGAGAUUUGACAGAAGAGCUACCAUACCUUGAUAGAUAGAUUGAUUGUUUAAGUGCUGUCAAGUCGGUGUCAGCUCUUAGCGACCACAUAGAUAGAUUCUCUCCAGGAUGAUCUUCAACUUGGCUUUUAAGGUCUCUCAGUGGUGCAUUCAUUGCUGUCAUGAUCAAGUCCAUCCACCUUGCUGCUGGUCGCCCUCUUCUCUUUCCUUCAGCUUUCCCAAGCAUUAUGGACUUCUCAAGGGAGCUGGGGUUUUGCAUAAUGUGUCCUGAUAGUCUGAUAGUUUGAGCCUGGUCAUUUGUGCCUCAAGUGAAAAUUCUGGAUUGAUUUGUUCUAUGAUCCAUUUGUUUGUUUUCCUGGCUGUUCAUGGUAUCCACAAAAGUCUCCAGCACCAAAGUUCAAAUGCCUCAAUACUUUUUCUAUCUUGCUUCUUCAAAGUCCAGCUUUCACAUCCAUAGUGUGUCAAGGGGAAAACCAUGGUCUGAACAACACUAAUCUUUGUCAGUAUAGACAUGUCACAGCAUCUAUAUAUCCUUUCCAAGGCCUUCAUUGCAACCCUACCAAGUGCUAGUCUGCAACGUAUUUCUUGACUGCUGGAUCCUUUACUGUUCACAGUCGAGCCUAAAAGGCAGAAGCUAUCCACCACUUCAAUGUCUUCAUUAUCAGUUCUGAGGCUGUCUUUUACCUGCUGUCAUUAGUUUAGUCUUCUUUACCUUUAGUUGUAGUCCCAUUUUUUCACUGUGCUCCUUGACUUUCAUUACUAGAGCUUGCAGAUCCUCAGCAUUCUCAGCUAUCAGAGUGGUGUCAUCAGCGUAGCACAGGUUAUUGAUGUUUCUUCCUCCAACUUUAAAACGAUGCUCAUCUCCUUCCAAUCCAGCUUUUCCCAGUACAUGUUCAGCAUAUAAAUUGAGUUAAUAAGGAGAAAAUAUACAGCCUUGUCUUACUCCUUUGUUAAUCUGGAACCAGUCUGUUUCACCAUGUUACUUCUGGACUGUGGCUUCCUAAGUUUCUCAUGAGAACAAUGGAAUGUUCUUGUAUGCCCACUUUCCUAAGGACAUUCCACAACUUGACAUGGUUGACACAAUCGAAGACUUCUCUGUAGUCAAUAAAGCACAUAUUGACUUCUUUUUAGUAUUCUUUGGCUUUCUCGGCUUUCUCAGUUAUCCAUUGUGCAUCAGCAAUUAUGUCUCUUGUUCCACAGCCUUUUCUGAAACCAGCUUGAACAUCCGGCAUUUCCUUUUCCACGUAGGGCUCUAAUCUGCGUUGGAUGAUCCUGAGCAUUACUUUGCUAGCAUGUGAAAUUAAGGAUAUUGUGCAAUGGUUUGUGCAAUCUGUUGAGUUUCCUUUCCUUGGUAUGGGUAUGUUGACUGACCUCUUCCAAUCUAUUGGCCAUUGUGUCAUUCUCCAAAUUUGGUGGCAUAGUUUGGUUAGAGCAGGCAUCCUCAAACUGCGGCCCUCCAGAUGUUGCUGAACUACAACUUCCAGCAUACCCAGCCACAAAAAAUUGUGUCUAGGGAUUCUGGGAGUUGUAGUUCAGCAACAUCUGGAGGGCCGCAGUUUGGGGAUGCCUGGGUUUGAGCCUUGACUGAUUCUUCUUCUGUUGCCUGCCAUAUUUCUGUAGCUAUUCCAUCAAUCCCUGUAGCCUUCCAACUUGGUAAUUACCGGAGUGCUGAUCUAACCAUCUUUCGGUACUAGAGGUUCUUGCAAGUAGGGAAUAUCUUCUAGAGUAUCUUGGAUGUUGACAUCCCUGCUGUACAGAUUUUCAGUAUACUCCUUCCAUCUCUGUUUGAUCUCUGAAUCAGUUACUAUCUGUCCUUUGGCAUUCCUUCACUUACCAAUUCAAGGUUGGAACCUCCUUCUGAGUUCAGAGUUCUUUUGGAAAACUUUCCUUUUUUUUUCCUGUGUCUGUUUCCUUCCUCAAGGUCUUCACAGAUGUCACUGUAAAACUGUUCCUUGUCUCUUCUGACAGCUUUCUGAAAUUCCCUAUUAAGUUCCUUCCCAGGGUCUUUAUCUUUCUUGACUUUGGCUUCUCUCCUCUUGGCAAUUUCCACCAUUUGUUCUGACAUCCAUUUUGCUUUCUUCUGUUUCUUGGUCUUUGACAGUUUCUUUUCACAUUCAGCCUUAACAACUUACUUAAUUUCAUUACAGAGUUCCUUUGGUUCCCUAUCAGUGAGGUUCAGAACUUCAAAGUGGUUCCUAAUGUUCUCCUUGAAAAUGGUGGGUACAUUCUCAAAAUCAUAUCGUGGAAGCUGGAUAGCUUUGUUUUUCCAAUUUAGCUUGACUUGGAACUUGCACAUGAGCAGUUCAUGAUCUUUUCUACUAUCAGCCCCCCGGCCACAUCUUUGCUGUUAUAACUGAGCUCUUCCAUGUGCUUUGGUUGUUUGAAGAAUGUGUUAGCAAUGAAGAGAUCAUUGGCUUGACAGAAACUAAUAAGUUGUUCUCCUGCUCCAUUUCUGUUUCCUAGGCCAUACAGUCCGACGGCGUUUUCCUCCUUGCCACUUCCAACUUUGGCAUUCCAGUCUCCAGCCAGCAGCAGCGCAUCAUGCUUGCAUGUUCUGUCGAUUUCAGAAUGAACUUGAGCAUAACACUCAUCAACUUCCUCUUCUGCAUCAGUCGUUGGGGCAUAGACUUGAAGAACUGUCAUGUUAAAGGGUUGUCCACAAAAUCUAAUUGAUAUUGGUCACUGACUGCAUUGUACUCAAGUACUGGUGUUGCUAUAUCCUUCCUGACUAUGAAAGCAACACCGUUCCGUCUUUGUUUUUCAUGUCCUGAAUAAUAAAGAGUAUGACUUUCUGA